UACACAAUAUAACAAAAAGGUGUUAAAAUCGGUAGCAUCAAACCCAAGUGAUACUCGUUUCGAAAUUGGUUGCCAUCACCAUAGCGGGCGUAUGUGUUCUUGGACGAGACACUUUUAGCAAUAAAUAAAACAAACGUCUUAAGAUAAUUACGGUACCCGUAAAGUUGCAUACGUGUAAACGGCGCGAGGUGUAUGGCUUUACGAAUGCAUUUAUUCUUGCAUGGCGGGGUAAGUACAAUUUACAUUUCACAGCACUAAUUUGAGAUCUCCAAAAAUCGCGCGUGGAAAAAAUCAAACGCUUUUACGGGAAGUUAACAAAACGAUUUUUGAUCGCGUUGCAUGAAGAGGGAGCAGAUAAAUUCUUCUUCUCAACCAUUCUCCAGGAUGCUGGUUGCAGUGAAGCAGGGUGUAUGCUUGAAAAGAUAAUAAAAUUAUGCUCUUAUCAUUUAUUCUCGCAGUAAAGGAACUGUUGUCUUUUUCCGGAAGCAAUUAAACUUUUUCUGCAGAAAGACCAAUCACGAAGAGCAUGAAGAAAGUGAAUACACUGCAGCUGGCGCAUAAAAAAACUGUUGUACUUAGAAUAAACUAAGAAACAAGCUUUUUCUAUAACGGGGGAAACACAGGCUGUCAGAUGAACCGUUUCUCUCUUUAAACAAAAUGCCUCGGAAGUUAUUAACGCGCAGGGAACAGAAAAUGUUCAUAUAAGGCGAGAAAUUCAGCAUGAUACUAUUUUUCCCGCAGUACCAAAAGUAAAUGAACAAGUCGGCGCUUCUUCUCCUGCUUUUCAUCGGACUCCUCGUCAUCACCGAAACUACUGAUGCGUAUUAUCACUGGUCAUUGAUUCGUCGUCGUCGCCGCUGGAACGCACAGAAAAAAGAUGCGGAAUUCAAGGAUAUAGAAGAAAGCGAUGAGAAAAUGACAUCACUUCUUGAAUAAACCAGUAAAAAUUGGAUGGUUUUAAUAAAUUGAACAACGGCAUAA
Molecule: non-coding RNA, 981 nt
Organism: Ciona intestinalis (vase tunicate)
Lineage: Eukaryota; Metazoa; Chordata; Ascidiacea; Phlebobranchia; Cionidae
Source: RefSeq, a predicted model, not a curated record